UGCCAGCAGCCGCGGUAAUACGUAGGAUGCAAGCGUUAUCCGGAAUUAUUGGGCGUAAAGAGUGUGUAGGUGGUUUGUUAAGUUAAAUGUUAAAUCUUCAGGCUCAACUUGAAGGCUGCAUUUAAUACUGGCAGACUCGAGGUAUGGAGAGGUAAGCGGAAUUAGUAGUGUAGCGGUGAAAUGCGUAGAUAUUACUAAGAACACCAAUGGCGAAGGCAGCUUACUGGCCAUAUUCUGACACUGAGACACGAAAGCGUGGGGAGCGAACAGGAUUAGAUA
This 279-nucleotide ribosomal RNA is filed under the name uncultured bacterium. RNAcentral's name for it is "partial 16S ribosomal RNA". It matches the Rfam family "Bacterial small subunit ribosomal RNA", at positions 506 to 784 of the family's 1533-position model. The record is from RNAcentral.